AACGCAUAUUGCACCUGUUGGCUUUGCCGACAGGUAUGCCUGUUUGAGUAUCAUUUAUUACCGAUUUGGCAUUUAUUUAUUUUAUCUUAUUUGUCAGUUUUGGGCUUUCAUCAAUCACUGUUCGCCCCGAAUGUGUCGACUGUGUGUCACAAAUGAUGUUUUGUUAUGUUGUUUGCGACGCCAUUCUUUUUUUUUCCACAUGAUCUCAAAUCAGGCAGGAUUACCCGCCGAACUUAA
Molecule: unclassified non-coding RNA, 237 nt
Filed under: uncultured fungus
Lineage: Eukaryota; Fungi
Description: partial contains 5.8S ribosomal RNA, internal transcribed spacer 2, and large subunit ribosomal RNA
Source: RNAcentral